AUUUGAAGGCAAUCUUAAACUGAUAUCAUUCCAUUAAACAGAUGAAGCGUGUCUAAUGGGAAAACAAAGGGCGGAUAUGGAGACUCGUAGGAAAAUGGAAAAUAAGAGCGCCUACCAUGGUAACCAGCUGAAUCCGAACAACGAGCGUUUCCAAGCGUCAAAGAAAUGAUCCGACGCGUGUGAUUGACAAUUUGAUGCAUGGUUACGACUGUAAAUUCGUAUGACGCAUAAAACAUAUACAAACAUGAAA
This is a long non-coding RNA of Dreissena polymorpha, 250 nucleotides long. RefSeq lists it as uncharacterized. The transcript has 2 exons. Lineage: Eukaryota; Metazoa; Mollusca; Bivalvia; Myida; Dreissenidae. The record is from RefSeq and is a predicted model, not a curated record.